GUGUAUUCUGUCAACAAGAAAUCUCUGCUUGGUUCCACCACACGGAGGAGAUACUUCUCUGGACUCAGAGGGAGCCGGAGUAAAGGCCAGAGAGAGAGAGAGAAAGGGAAAUAUCACGUCCUUUAGCAGGAGGGUCAUUACGAACGCUGCAUGCGCUUUCUUGAUAUGAGAAGAUGGAGGAAAGCAGAAGGUAAUGCAAUCAGCAAAUGGAAGUCCCUGAAUCGCCCAUCCCCUUCCCUAACAGUGCUGAGGGGAGGAAGGUCAGAGAGCACGGCGAGACAGGGAUGAAGCAAGUGCAAGAGGAAGGAGACAAGGGCAAAUGUGAAAAUGACACCUGAAAAUGCCAGACGACUAAGGACGGUACCUCUUGUGACAGGUGAAACUUUACAAAUCACCUGCUGCUGUGGUCAUUUGGUACUCAACAGGUCUAGAUGCUUCCUGAAAUAACAGCCAUCGUAUAUAUAGUCACAAAACUGAAGUUUGAGUUAACAGAUGCAUUUUGGAUGGU
This is a long non-coding RNA of Onychostoma macrolepis, 508 nucleotides long. RefSeq lists it as uncharacterized. The record is from RefSeq and is a predicted model, not a curated record. NCBI's taxonomy places the organism in Eukaryota, Metazoa, Chordata, Actinopteri, Cypriniformes, Cyprinidae. The transcript has 3 exons.